GGGGGUUCGCCUCCAGCCCCGGUACCCUAGCGAUUUCCGAUCGGCGCACUUCUCACCCUUAUAUAUGGACGUCGUAUACGCUCGGGCAUCUUGCUAAAGAAACGAGCCGGUGGAGUGCUGAAUAAAUACCUUUGGUUUUUUUUCGGCCUGCUUUUUUCGGGCAAGUGUGUUUACGAGCGGUUCGAGGGCGGCUAAUAGCCCCCGUUCCCAGGUGGUUCGUAACGGCGACUUUCGCCCUGAUAGUACUGAAAGGGACUCUGUUCUUUUCGGGAAAUGCGAACUUCGCCGAACGUAAYUGCCGAUUGGGGACUGCGACGAGUAGAUCGGUAACCCAUCCGACCCGUCUUGAAACACGGACCAAGGAGUCUAACAUGUAUGCGAGUCAGUGAGUCUCGAUAAAGCUCACAGGCGAAAUGAAAGUAUUUCAGCCGUGAUCCAUAACGAAGAAAUUCAAAUAUGUGCGCAACGGCGGCCGGCUAGAGGGUUUUUUAACUGAAUCUAGUCGAGUCUGAGCAUACACGUUGGGACCCGAAAGAUGGUGACCUAUGCCUGGGCAGGAUGAAGUCGGGGGAAACCCUGAUGGAGGUCUGCAGCGGUUCUGACGUGCAAAUCGAUCGUCUGAUCUGCGUAUAGUGGCGAAAGACCCAUCGAACC
This 654-nucleotide ribosomal RNA is filed under the name Cyrtognatha atopica. RNAcentral's name for it is "eukaryotic LSU rRNA". It matches the Rfam family "Eukaryotic large subunit ribosomal RNA", at positions 457 to 941 of the family's 3401-position model. The record is from RNAcentral. Lineage: Eukaryota; Metazoa; Arthropoda; Arachnida; Araneae; Tetragnathidae.